This is a long non-coding RNA of Asparagus officinalis (garden asparagus), 426 nucleotides long. RefSeq lists it as uncharacterized. NCBI's taxonomy places the organism in Eukaryota, Viridiplantae, Streptophyta, Magnoliopsida, Asparagales, Asparagaceae. The record is from RefSeq and is a predicted model, not a curated record. The transcript has 2 exons.
AUUCCUCUCUCUUCUUCGCCCCUUCGGCUUUUGUAAAUGCUCGAGACUCGAGAAGCACCAGCUAGGGUUACAGAAAGAUAUCUUUUGCCCUGUCAACUCCUCUCAGCUGAGAGAACUUUAAUUGAUCAAUGUUCAACUCAGAUCAUAGAGCAGUUCCUUUUUGUUAAGGGUCCAUGAAGAUGCUAUGGAGAUGAUCCGGUUAUUGAUGAAUGCUGCCCAGCUUCAAGCUGCAGGUGGCUCAUCGUUUUCUUAACACAGGACAUGAUUUUCCCCUUACUCAUCUGAGACUCUUCCAAUGCUUCAUCAAUCAUAUCUGUGUGUUUUUAAAUAGUUGUGUGCUUAAAUAGUUCUGUACUUUCACUAAAUAUGUGUUCUGAAAUGGUCUAGGUGUGAUUUUCAUUAUUUUGCAUGAAACCUUUUGUGACA